Molecule: unclassified non-coding RNA, 344 nt
Filed under: soil metagenome
Description: partial contains 5.8S ribosomal RNA, internal transcribed spacer 2, and large subunit ribosomal RNA
Rfam family: 5.8S ribosomal RNA (bases 1-120)
Source: RNAcentral
GAUGAAGAACGUAGUGAAAUGCGAUAAGUAAUGUGAAUUGCAGAAUUCAGUGAAUCAUCGAAUCUUUGAACGCACAUUGCGCCCACUGGUAUUCCGGUGGGCAUGCCUGUUCGAGCGUCAUUAUCCUCCCUCAAACCCCGGGUUUGGUGUUGGACCCAAGUUGUGUGAACAACUGGUCUCAAAGACAAUGACGGCGUCCGUGGGACCCUCGGUGCAACGAGCUUUUAGGAGCACGCAUCGAGUUGCAAGGACCUUCCGGGCCGGUCUCCUUUACCAUUUUACAAGGUUGACCUCGGAUCAGGUAGGAAUACCCGCUGAACUUAAGCAUAUCAAUAAGCGGAGGA